AUGUGGGAAGAAAGUGGUAGCUCACCUAUGCCAUGGAGCAUAAAAAAUAGUAGGAGAUCUUCCUUUCCCAUAUGUUGUUACAGAAGCAUAUAUGAUCCAAGCAGGACAUAUUUGCUUGGCAUAUCCACUUGUGUCAUCACUCUUGCUAGCAUAGGACUGGAUGCUGAAGAGAAUAACCAUGAUAGAUCACACAGAACAAUCAUUCCCAAGAGAAUGACAUCUUCUGGGCUGCUAAGAGGAUCAUGUCAGGACCGCAGCCGUCACUCGCCUCGGGGGAACCCUCUCCUCACAGGCCACCGCCUUGGCCCAAUCCGUCACAAUAUGCAAGAGCAAGAAGCGAAAACAGAACAAAUCAGGAACUCUAGCCUAACGCACAUGCCCGCAAUAUCCGAUUUUUCCAAGCCGGAAUCUCCAUGUCCCAGUACCUUCUUGAGCUCGCGGAUGACCUGCUCCCUCAUUUCCUCCUCCACGGGUGUUGGGAUGGUCCCCUCGUCCGUCAAGAACGGCAUCAUCCCCAAGAAAAGGAAAUCACGAGAUUACUCAGAGAUAACCGGGGACAACAGAGAAACCAGAGGAAUUCACGGACGACGGGGGGCUCACCUGGACGAGGGACUGGGUCCUUCCCUCCUGGCGCUAAAGCAGAAGGGGUGUCGUGGGCGGCGAGAGGGGGCUGACGGAGAGGACGCGCGCCAGCGGCAGAAGCAGGGAGGGGAAAUCGCGGGCGCGGGCGUGGACGCGAGAGCGAGGCGGCGACGGACGGGGAGGAUGGUUUCAGACGGUGGCGGGCGGGGAGGAUGGCCGGUGGGCGGGGAGGGUGGUCGACGGCGACGUGAGGAGAGGAGGCAGGGUGGCGGCGUGGGGGACGGGCGGAAGAGAGAGAGGAGUCGGGGCGAGGGGCGAAGGCUGAGGAGUGGGAAAACAGAGAUGCGGCUAGGGUUCCACCACGGACGACUGCCUUUUAUACGUAAACGCUCCAUCUCGAUCGGAUGGUCCGGAUCGCUCCAUCUCGCGAUCCGACGGCCAGGACGCGUCAGGGAGCUCGAUCGGACGGUCCACAAUCCAAACGAACGGGAGAGCUCCAUUUCGGUUCAGACUCUAACAAGGGGAUUAACUCUCUCCCGGGCGAGACACGACGGCCGGCGAGACCCGCGCCGCCGCGGCCAGAGAGAGUCGGGGAUGUUCGGGUUGCAGGCGAGAGCCGCCGCGGCUCCGUGGGCGGUGGGGCGGACGUGCCCGGACGCGCGCCUCUACGAUGACGACGCCGCCAUCCCGGCGCUCCUCGACUCACCUCUUCGACGCCGACGCGCUCAAGCGCCUCCUCGUCGUCAUACCGCACGGCGUCGACGUCGCCCCAAUCUCCCGGCAGGUGGUCAAAGAACGUGGCGGCGCAGUCGUCUGCCUCCACUCCCUGCGCCGUCGCUGGAGGUGAAGAAGCUACUCUACCUCUACCAGAGUCGCCGGAUUGCUAGCAAGAAAGGCAAAAUGGGGCCUGGAAGUUGGGCUCGCUCGCUCUCCGCUCCACCGCCCGCCAUCAGUUCGACGAAAUGCCGCCUACCAUCCUCCUUUGGUGCCUCUGUACACGCCGGUUUAAGAGGUAUCAUAAUUGGCGGUGACAGGUCGUUAUUCUUAUCUGAAUUUGACCCUUCAUCCUUUCAACCAUAUAACUGCCCCCAAUUGUAG
This 1680-nucleotide ribosomal RNA is filed under the name Triticum aestivum (bread wheat). RNAcentral's name for it is "partial small subunit ribosomal RNA". The record is from RNAcentral. Lineage: Eukaryota; Viridiplantae; Streptophyta; Magnoliopsida; Poales; Poaceae.